Long non-coding RNA from Equus caballus (horse), 2680 nucleotides. RefSeq lists it as uncharacterized. The record is from RefSeq and is a predicted model, not a curated record. Lineage: Eukaryota; Metazoa; Chordata; Mammalia; Perissodactyla; Equidae.
AGCAAACAUUUUGAAUUUUGAUGAAGUCUGAUUUAUCCAUUUUUUUCAUUUAUGAUUUCUGCUUUCUGUGUUUUUUCUGAGAAACCUUUGCCUACCGUCAAGCUGUAAAGCUAUUUUCCAAUGUUUUCUUUGAAAGCUUUAAUUUUAAAAUGUCUAGUUUAAUAGUACAUCUCAAGUUAAUUUUGGUGUAUGGUGUGAGGUAUAAGUCAAGGCUAUUUUUUUUUCUGAUGGAUUCUUCUUGUUCUACCAUCUGUCAAAAAGAUUUUUCUUCCCUCAUUGGCUUGCUUUGGUGCCUAAAAACAAUCCUGGAAGAGUGGGUCUGUUUCUGCUCUUUAUUCUUCUCCAUUGAUCUGUUUGUCAGUCCAUAUCAGUAAAACACUGUCUGAUUUACCGUAGCUUUAUGUACUAAGUUUGAAAUAACGUGGUGUAAGCCCUUCAACUUUGUUCUUUUUCGAGAUAGCCUUGGAUGUUCUAGAUCCUUUGCCUUUCUGAUUGUAAAAUCAGUUUGUCAUUGUCUACAAGAAACGUCUGCUGGGAUUAUGCUGGGCAUUGCACUGGACCCAGAGAUGAAUUUGAGGGGAAUUGCUGUCUUGACAAUGUUGAAUAUUCUAAUCCAUGAACAUGAUAUAUUUCUCUAUUUAUAUAGAUUGUCUUUAAUUUCUCCUAGUAAUAUUGUGUGGCUUUUGGUAUGACGAUCUUAGAUCUUUUCUUACACUUAUUACUAAUAUUUUGGUUUUUGACAGUGUUGUAAAUGGAAUUUUUUUCAUUUCAUUUUCCAGUUUGUUGCUAGUCUAUAAAAAUUUCUGUAUUUUAAGCUUAUAUCCUGUGACUUUGCUAAAUCAUUAGUUCUAAUAGUUGCUUUGUAAAUUCCUUAAGAUUGCAAUAGAGACAGUUUGACAUCUUUCUGGUCCUUGUGCUUUUUAUUUCAUUUUCUUGUCUUAUUGCAAUGUGUAAGACCUCCAGUACAGAGUGAAGAGAGUGAGCAUCCUUGCCCUGUUUCCAGUCUUAAAGGGAAGACUUCAUUAUUUUCGCUAUUAAGUAUGAUGUUAGCUCUAGAUUUCUGAUAAAUGUCCUUUCAAUUGAAGGAGUUUCUUCCUAUUUUUAGGUUUCUAAGUUUUCACCAAGGAUAAGCAUUGAAUUUUGUCAUGCUUUUUCUGCAUCUGUUGUAUAGAUAUGAUUUUUCUCCUGACUGGUUGAAUUUGAAUUUAUUACCACAACAUCAUAUGGAAACUCACCAGUGCCUACACAUGUUUCCUACAGUGGUCCUACAUGUUUCCAAUAACUGUAUUUGCUUAUCUCCGAGGUGAUUGUUUCCUACUGUUUUCACUUUUUAAACCUCCUGCCUCUGGGCCCCUCAAAGCUAAUAACCACUCCUCAUGCCUCAGAGAGAAACUGAUACUUUGAGUGGGGAAUCCCUUACCUUUCCUCCUUCAAAUGACCAACCCACCUGCAUCUGCACCAUCUUCUCCUUUCCCUCCCGUUCAAAUGGGGAGAAGGAGAUUUCAUCCUAUUGAAGACCAGUCCUACUGGAUGCCGUCGUCUUCCAGUUUGUUAAGUGGCUUGUUCCCUCAGCUAGCCUGCGUCUCCUGCGGUGUCAGUCUCGCCAUCAGUGUAUCUAGGAGCCUGUGUAUUUCAAAGCAGAAAUUUCCCUUGACCCUACAGAUCUUACGUUUGACCGUACUUAUGAGCACGCAUGGCCCCCAGCUCCUCCCUGCAUUUCUGCAUCUCUCAUAACACAACUUCUGCUCAGCGCCCACACUCUUCUUCCCUUGCUUACCUCCCUGUCACAUUCAUUCUGCCUCCACCUCGCCAGCGGAAUUGGUCAGGGUCUCCCAAGCAACGUAUGCUUUCCCUCACAGGUGGAAGGUAAACAAACACGUGGACGAGGAAAACAGAUCAGUGGUCACCAGAGGAGGAGGGAGAAAGGGGUAAAGGGGCGCGUAUGUAUGGUGACGGACGAAAACUGGGCUGUUAGGGGAGCAGGAUGCAGUCUGUACAGAAGCUGAUAUAUGAUGAUGUACACCUGAAAUUACACAAUGUUAUAAACAACAUGACCUCAAUAAAAUGAUUUUUAAAAUCUGAAUUGGUCAAGGUCUCCAGAUGGCGUCCAUGUUACCAGGUUCGGUGGAUGUUCUCGUCUCAGCUGAGCCCCCAGCAGCACUGGACACAGUGUUGAUUCGUCCGUGGUGAACGCUCAGCGGCAGCGCUGUAACUCAUGCUGAAGGAAGCUGAUCUGACGCGCACCAUCUCUGGCGCACGUCGCAGCCUUCGAGCACUUAGAGCACGAGCUGGCACCUCAGCACUCUGGUUGGGGGCCGUUUUAAACUGUGAAGUCACCAACCAAGAGCACAAAAAUGCAAAAACUAGACCACGAGAAGGACAGCUGUUUACAGUAUGAGAGCAGAAGCAAGAAGGCAGAGUGUCACCUGGUUCCGCCUCAGCUGGGAGCUGCGUCCGGCAGCUCCAGCCCUUCACCGCUCCCUGUGCGUCCGUGGAUCACUGUAAACGCACCGCAGCUGUUCGCUUCAGAGAUUGCCAGUGAACACCAGCAACCAGGCAGGUUCGCAAUAAAGAAUCUGUGAAUGACGAGGAUCGGCUGUAUUUGGAAGAAGGUUCUUUUUACCGCUGAUUAACUGAUGGGGGCAGUGAAUUUAAAUAAAGUUUACUUGUUUAAUGAAAA